This is a long non-coding RNA of Tachysurus fulvidraco (yellow catfish), 655 nucleotides long. RefSeq lists it as uncharacterized. The record is from RefSeq and is a predicted model, not a curated record. The transcript has 2 exons. Lineage: Eukaryota; Metazoa; Chordata; Actinopteri; Siluriformes; Bagridae.
GACGAUGGAGCUGCUGAACUAAAAAGUACGUCCUGUUCUUUAAUUAGUGUAACGAAGCUAGUUAGGUGUUCAACCCGAACCCUUAGUAGUGAUUGUUUCUGUUUGGAGUGGUAAAGAUAUCGGAAAGACGAACGGACUGGCGGAUAGCUAGCUCAACUAGCACAGGACUACAUGUGGUGAAGGAGUAUCCUGUGAAGCAUCCAAGCUCUGUUUGUGUUCUUCAUCGAGCUUUUUCUUCCUGACGCGUGAAUGAAGAAAAGUCAGGAUACAGUAAAGAGCUUCAGAUGAAGUGGACUGGAAGGUCUGAAGAACCAUCUGCUCUUAUUCCACUUCCGACUGUCCAGUUUGAUGUGUGGUGCAGGCUGAGGUGCAUUUCUGUGUUGUUAUAGACUUCAUGUCAGCCAUUUUCCAUUAUCUUUCUCAUUAUUGAGUUUUUAGCUUGCAGACUCAAUUCACAGGAUGUUUUUUUUUCUCUCUCGCCAUUCUGUGUAAAGUUUAGACACAUCACACUUUUACCCCUCAUUCUGAUGUUUCAUGUAACAUUACCUUUAAGUUUUUGACUUGGAUGAUGUUUUUCCUUUGCACUGCUGCUUUACGAUUGGCUGAUUAGCUCACAGGUGUACACGGGUUCCUAAUAAAAUGGUACAUAAUUAUA